RNAcentral lists this ribosomal RNA (243 nucleotides) under uncultured bacterium. Its description in RNAcentral is "partial 16S ribosomal RNA". It matches the Rfam family "Bacterial small subunit ribosomal RNA", at positions 75 to 334 of the family's 1533-position model. The record is from RNAcentral.
CACCUUCGGGUGAGAGUAGAGUGGCGCACGGGUGAGUAACACGUGGGAACCUGCCCAGAAGUGGGGAAUAACUCAGGGAAACUUGAGCUAAUACCGCAUAAUCCCCUCGGGGGAAAGCUUUAUGCGCUUUUGGAUGGGCCCGCGCCGGAUUAGCUUGUUGGUGAGGUAACGGCUUACCAAGGCAACGAUCCGUAGCUGGUUUGAGAGGACGAUCAGCCACACUGGGACUGAGACACGGCCCAG